CGUGACCUAUUGCGGGAAGCAUAAAAUCCAGUAGUGGGCUGCUUCCAGGAAGAGCGAGAGGGACGUUGCUGCAGGAGCCAACUACUGAAGCCGUGGGUCGUCGUGUGAGAGUGUUUAAGUGUGAUUUAUCUGCGGAAUUGUUGGAGCUGCUGGGACCUCUGCUGGCAGCAUGCUUGGACACAUCCCUGCUCACGCUGGUCGCAGCACGCCCACACAGCGAAAAGGCUGCAAGCAAUUGCGAAUCAGCACACCUUGGUUUGAUGAGAGGGAGUAGCAUAAAAACCUGGUGAAUCUAAGAGACCUUUGCCAGAACGAAGCCGAUUUUCACCUGAUGUCCUCCGUGAUCAUGUCUUGCCUCACAACCUCCUCCCGGAUCUUUGCUUGCCUUCCCCGAUCCUCGACCAAUGCUUGGACCCGGACAUCGUUGCUUCUCUCCAGCCCCGACUGCUUGCCUCCCUGCUUACUACCCCUUCGCCUUCUCCUUUGGAUUCAACGAAAGAUACAUCGACAACAACCUCUGCAGUGUUGGUGACUGCAGGGCGGGGCUGAAAAGCCAGAAGAGGCAGCACGAAGGGCUGACGGAGGAAAAUACUUUAUGGACAAAAGAAGAAAGGUUGUGAAGAGAACAAAAUAAAAAGAAAAGACAUUGUGAACAAGCAAAUGAAGAAAUAUCGUGUGAGAACAAAUUAAACGAAUUGGCAAACUGGGCGACCUGCCUGUGUGAUCCAUUGGUCCUGAAGAACCUCACGACACAAGACUGUCACAGUGGCCAAAUACAAACACAUGCUACUUCCAAUCCUAUAACAUAAUUACCCAUCCAUCCAUUUUCUACCGCUUAUU
Nerophis ophidion (straightnose pipefish) is the source of this 840-nucleotide long non-coding RNA. RefSeq lists it as uncharacterized. The record is from RefSeq and is a predicted model, not a curated record. NCBI's taxonomy places the organism in Eukaryota, Metazoa, Chordata, Actinopteri, Syngnathiformes, Syngnathidae. The transcript has 5 exons.